GAUGAACGCUGGCGGCGUGCCUAAUACAUGCAAGUCGAACGGAGAGAGGAGAUUUCGGUUGAAUCUCUUAGUGGCGAACGGGUGAGUAACGCGUUCCCCGGUGACCUGCCCCGAAGAGGGGGAUAACAGCUCGAAAGGGCUGCUAAUACCCCAUGAGAUCUACCCGGUUAGAGGAGGUAGAUGAAAGGAGCAAUUCGCUUCGGGAGGGGCCUGCGUCCCAUCAGCUAGUUGGCAGGGUAACGGCCUACCAAGGCUACGAUGUUUAGGGGACCUGAGAGGGUGAUCCCCCACACUGGUACUGAGACACGGACCAGACACCUACGGGUGGCAG
RNAcentral lists this ribosomal RNA (331 nucleotides) under uncultured Chloroflexota bacterium. RNAcentral's name for it is "bacterial SSU rRNA". It matches the Rfam family "Bacterial small subunit ribosomal RNA", at positions 28 to 351 of the family's 1533-position model. The record is from RNAcentral. Lineage: Bacteria; Bacillati; Chloroflexota.